This is a long non-coding RNA of Oncorhynchus keta (chum salmon), 3051 nucleotides long. RefSeq lists it as uncharacterized. The record is from RefSeq and is a predicted model, not a curated record. The transcript has 3 exons. Lineage: Eukaryota; Metazoa; Chordata; Actinopteri; Salmoniformes; Salmonidae.
GUCAUGAAGACACAGAGGAUUCGUUUGGAGAGUUAUCAUCAAUUCUGCUGCGCACCUAAAUACAUGGCAAUUAAAAUGAGCUGCUCGGCCAAUCUAACCCAGUCGGCAGAUUGACAUGAUCUGACAAGCUGAUAUCCUGUAUCUGGGUCAGUUGUAGAGUUCUUCCUACAUACUGUUUUAUCAGGGAGUUAGAGUAAAGAGGGGGAGCCCGAGUGGAAGCUUUGAGGAGCACAGGGCAGAAACAGAGAGCGAUAUUAUCAGGGAGAGCUUCCCCACGUUGGCUUCCUCUUUGGAAGAUGUCUGGCCUCUCUCUCCCCUCUGGUAAGAAAAACACAAUGAUUAAAGUGGGAAAAGAAGGGCAGAUCUUGCCCAGGAUCUACCCGACAGCAACCUCUGACAGCAACCUCUGACAGCAACCUGUCAGGUGUCUUUGAGAGGAUCCAAUUAUUUCCCGUGCAGAUAAAAUGAUGAUGAAUUGCAGUGUUGCAGCGUUGUGACUGGCAGCCCUGGGUCCAUUUAACUGGGGGAGGAAAGGAAAAGGGAGGAAAGGAAAAGGGAGGAAAGGAAAAGGGAGGAAAGGAUGGGUCAUCUAAUGAGAUGAGGGAACAGAGGGGAAACAGCUGUAGGGUAGUGCUUUAUAUAGGGCAGAGGGAGAGAGAGGGAGAGGUGGGGAGAGAGACAGAAGGAGAAAGGGAGAUAACGAGAAAGAGAACAACAGAGAGGAAGAGGAAAUUAUAGAGCGAGAGAAAGAGAUGGAGAACAACAGAGAGAAGGAGAGAGGGAGAGAGAAGGGGUUUAUGUGACUCGUGCUCCAUGCUCUGGUGGCAGUGCAGCUGCUGAUACUGCCGUGUGCUAACUCCAUGCAGGGUAGUAGAAUGGUGUCAGAGUUUCCCUGCAGAGCAGUCCCCAUCCCCCCUCCACCACCACCAUGGACCCAGGGCUGGAGAGAAAAGGUUGAGCCACUUAACUGUAAACUGCCUAAUGCCUGCUGCUUGGUGCUGUGUUUCCGCCAUGCCUCAGAGCCCAUCGGUUGGGAGAACAAAACACACGCAGACCACACAGGGUUUCAUUCAGCUGUUAAACAGGAAGUGGUUUGGUUGACGUUAGAUUUCCUGUUUUUAUUGCAACACGGGUGAAAAAAGCGGAGCAAAUUUGACUGGUUACAACGUCCUUAUUUGACAUUGCUCUGAGAAGGAUUGGAAGACCACUAUGCUUGUUAUGAGGAUGUAUUUUAUCUGUGUAGUACUGACACAACACAGUCUGACCAGAUCACAGAUCAGAGAAGAAUAGAGACACAACACAGUCUGACCAGGUCACAGAUUAGAGAAGAAUAGAGACACAACACAGUCUGACCAGGUCACAGAUUAGAGAAGAAUAGAGACACAACACAGUCUGACCAGGUCACAGAUCAGAGAAGAAUAGAGACACAACACAGUCUGACCAGGUCACAGAUUAGAGAAGAAUAGAGACACAACACAGUCUGACCAGGUCACAGAUCAGAGAAGAAUAGAGACACAACACAGUCUGACCAGGUCACAGAUUAGAGAAGAAUAGAGACACAACACAGUCUGACCAGGUCACAGAUCAGAGAAGAAUAGAGACACAACACAGUCUGACCAGGUCACAGAUUAGAGAAGAAUAGAGACACAACACAGUCUGACCAGGUCACAGAUCAGAGAAGAAUAGAGACACAACACAGUCUGACCAGGUCACAGAUUAGAGAAGAAUAGAGACACAACACAGUCUGACCAGGUCACAGAUUAGAGAAGAAUAGAGACACAACACAGUCUGACCAGGUCACAGAUUAGAGAAGAAUAGAGACACAACACAGUCUGACCAGGUCACAGAUCAGAGAAGAAUAGAGACACAACACAGUCUGACCAGGUCACAGAUUAGAGAAGAAUAGAGACACAACACAGUCUGACCAGGUCACAGAUUAGAGAAGAAUAGAGACACAACACAGUCUGACCAGGUCACAGAUCAGAGAAGAAUAGAGACACAACACAGUCUGACCAGGUCACAGAUCAGAGAAGAAUAGAGACACAACACAGUCUGACCAGGUCACAGAUCAGAGAAGAAUAGAGACACAACACAGUCUGACCAGGUCACAGAUUAGAGAAGAAUAGAGACACAACACAGUCUGACCAGGUCACAGAUUAGAGAAGAAUAGAGACACAACACAGUCUGACCAGGUCACAGAUUAGAGAAGAAUAGAGACACAACACAGUCUGACCAGGUCACAGAUCAGAGAAGAAUAGAGACACAACACAGUCUGACCAGGUCACAGAUUAGAGAAGAAUAGAGACACAACACAGUCUGACCAGGUCACAGAUUAGAGAAGAAUAGAGACACAACACAGUCUGACCAGGUCACAGAUUAGAGAAGAAUAGAGACACAACACAGUCUGACCAGGUCACAGAUCAGAGAAGAAUAGAGACACAACACAGUCUGACCAGGUCACAGAUUAGAGAAGAAUAGAGACACAACACAGUCUGACCAGGUCACAGAUUAGAGAAGAAUAGAGACACAACACAGUCUGACCAGGUCACAGAUCAGAGAAGAAUAGAGACACAACACAGUCUGACCAGGUCACAGAUCAGAGAAGAAUAGAGACACAACACAGUCUGACCAGGUCACAGAUUAGAGAAGAAUAGAGACACAACACAGUCUGACCAGGUCACAGAUCAGAGAAGAAUAGAGACACAACACAGUCUGACCAGGUCACAGAUCAGAGAAGAAUAGAGACACAACACAGUCUGACCAGGUCACAGAUCAGAGAAGAAUAGAGACACAACACAGUCUGACCAGGUCACAGAUCAGAGAAGAAUAGAGACACAACACAGUCUGACCAGGUCACAGAUUAGAGAAGAAUAGAGACACAACACAGUCUGACCAGGUCACAGAUCAGAGAAGAAUAGAGACACAACACAGUCUGACCAGGUCACAGAUCAGAGAAGAAUAGAGACACAACACAGUCUGACCAGGUCAGAGAUUAGAGAAGAAUAGAGACACAACACAGUCUGACCAGGUCAGAGAUUAGAGAAGAAUAGA